GGGAGGAUGGCCGAGCGGUUAAGGCGCUGUGUUUAGGCCGCAGUGGGAAACCUCGUGGGUUCGAAUCCCACUCCUCUCA
This 79-nucleotide transfer RNA is filed under the name Exophiala mesophila. RNAcentral's name for it is "tRNA-Leu (TAG) (tRNA-Leu-TAG-1-1)". It matches the Rfam family "tRNA". Rfam says of the family: Transfer RNA (tRNA) molecules are approximately 80 nucleotides in length. Their secondary structure includes four short double-helical elements and three loops (D, anti-codon, and T loops). Lineage: Eukaryota; Fungi; Ascomycota; Eurotiomycetes; Chaetothyriales; Herpotrichiellaceae. The record is from RNAcentral.